GGUUAAGCUAAUAAGAGCACACGGAGGAUGCCUAGGCGCCAGGAGCCGACGAAGGACGUGGCGAACAACGAAACUGCCUCGGGGAGCUGUAAGCAAGCUUUGAUCCGGGGGUGUCCGAAUGGGGAAACCCAGCUGUGGUAAUUCGCAGUUACUCGUAUCUGAAUACAUAGGAUACGCAGAGGCAGACCAGGGGAACUGAAACAUCUAAGUACCCUGAGGAAGAGAAAACAAUAGUGAUUCCGUCAGUAGCGGCGAGCGAACGCGGAACAGCCUAAACCAGGGGGCUUGCCUCCUGGGGUUGUGGGACGUCUCACAUGGAGUUACAAAGGAAUAUGGUAGGCGAAGAGGUCUGGAAAGGCCCGCGAUAGAGGUAAAAGCCCUGUAGCCUAAACUGUGUUCUCUCCGAGACGGAUCCCGAGUAGUGCGGGGCACGUGAAACCCCGUAUGAAUCCGGCAGGACCAUCUGUCAAGGCUAAAUACUACCUGGCGACCGAUAGUGAAACAGUACCGUGAGGGAAAGGUGAAAAGCACCCCGGAAGGGGAGUGAAAUAGAACCUGAAACCGUGUGCUUACAAAAAGUCAGAGCCCGAUCUAUGGGUGAUGGCGUGCCUUUUGUAGAAUGAACCGGCGAGUUACGUUUAACAUGCAAGGUUAAGGUGAGAAGCCGGAGCCGCAGCGAAAGCGAGUCUGAAUAGGGCGAUUUAGUAUGUGGACGUAGACCCGAAACCGUGUGAUCUACCCCUGUCCAGGGUGAAGGUGCGGUAACACGCACUGGAGGCCCGAACCCACGUACGUUGAAAAGUGCGGGGAUGAGGUGGGGGUAGCGGAGAAAUUCCAAUCGAACUCGGAGAUAGCUGGUUCUCCCCGAAAUAGCUUUAGGGCUAGCCUCGGUGAAUGGAGUGAUGGAGGUAGAGCACUGAUUGGGUGCGGGGCCCGCAAGGGUUACCAAGCUCAGUCAAACUCCGAAUGCCAUUAUCUUCUUGCCGGGAGUCAGACAGUGAGUGCUAAGAUCCAUUGUCAAAAGGGAAACAGCCCAGACCAUCAGCUAAGGUCCCCAAGUGUGUGUUAAGUGGGAAAGGAUGUGGAGUUGCACAGACAACCAGGAUGUUGGCUUAGAAGCAGCCACCAUUUAAAGAGUGCGUAAUAGCUCACUGGUCGAGUGACUCUGCGCCGAAAAUGUAACGGGGCUAAACACACCACCGAAGCUAUGGCUAGAUACGUAUGUAUCUGGGGUAGGGGAGCGUUGUAUGUGGGUUGAAGGUGUACCGUAAGGAGCGCUGGACAGCAUACAAGUGAGAAUGCCGGUAUGAGUAACGAAAAGAUCAGUGAGAAUCUGAUCCGCCGAAAGCCCAAGGUUUCCUGAGGAAGGCUCGUCCGCUCAGGGUAAGUCGGGACCUAAGGCGAGGCCGAUAGGCGUAGUCGAAGGACAACAGUUUGAAAUUACUGUACCACCGUAAUCCGCUAUGAGCGAUGGGGUGACGCAGGAGGGUAGUGACGCGGACUGAUGGAUGUCCGUCUAAGCAGUGAGGCUGGUGUGUAGGCAAAUCCGCACAUCGUAAGGCUGGGCUGUGAUGGGGAGCGAAAAUUGUAGUAGCGAAGGUCAUGAUCUCACACUGCCAAGAAAAGCCUCUAGCCAGGAGAAGGUGCCCGUACCGCAAACCGACACAGGUAGGCGAGAAGAGAAUUCUAAGGCGCGCGGAAGAACUCUCGUUAAGGAACUCGGCAAAAUGACCCCGUAACUUCGGGAGAAGGGGUGCCUCGGUAGGGUGAAUAGCCCGAGGGGGCCGCAGUGAAAAGGCCCAAGCGACUGUUUAGCAAAAACACAGGUCUGUGCGAAGCCGCAAGGCGAAGUAUACGGGCUGACGCCUGCCCGGUGCUGGAAGGUUAAGGGGAGUGGUUAGGGGUAACCCGAAGCUAUGAACCGAAGCCCCAGUAAACGGCGGCCGUAACUAUAACGGUCCUAAGGUAGCGAAAUUCCUUGUCAGGUAAAUUCUGACCCGCACGAAUGGCGUAACGACUUGGGCGCUGUCUCAACGAGAGAUCCGGUGAAAUUUUAAUACCUGUGAAGAUGCAGGUUACCCGCGACAAGACGGAAAGACCCCAUGGAGCUUUACUGCAGCUUGAUAUUGAAUUUGGGUACGAUCUGUACAGGAUAGGUGGGAGCCGUAGAAACAGGAGCGCAAGCUUCUGUGGAGGCGCCGUUGGGAUACCACCCUGAUCGUAUCUAGGUUCUAACCUGGUGCCCUUAACGGGUACGGGGACCGUGUCAGGCGGGCAGUUUGACUGGGGCGGUCGCCUCCUAAAGAGUAACGGAGGCGUUCAAAGGUUCCCUCAGAAUGGUUGGAAAUCAUUCGAAGAGUGCAAAGGCAUAAGGGAGCUUGACUGCGAGACCAACAAGUCGAGCAGGGACGAAAGUCGGACUUAGUGAUCCGGUGGUACCGCAUGGAAGGGCCAUCGCUCAACGGAUAAAAGCUACCCUGGGGAUAACAGGCUUAUCUCCCCCAAGAGUCCACAUCGACGGGGAGGUUUGGCACCUCGAUGUCGGCUCAUCGCAUCCUGGGGCUGAAGUAGGUCCCAAGGGUUGGGCUGUUCGCCCAUUAAAGCGGUACGCGAGCUGGGUUCAGAACGUCGUGAGACAGUUCGGUCCCUAUCUGUCGUGGGCGCAGGAAAUUUGAGAGGAGCUGUCCUUAGUACGAGAGGACCGGGAUGGACGUACCGCUGGUGCACCAGUUGUUCCGCCAGGAGCAUGGCUGGGUAGCUACGUACGGACGGGAUAAGCGCUGAAAGCAUCUAAGCGUGAAGCCCCCCUCAAGAUGAGAUUUCCCAAUUAGUAAGACCCCUUGAAGACGACGAGGUAGAUAGGUUGGAGGUGGAAGUGCAGCAAUGCAUGGAGCUGACCAAUACUAAUCGGUCGAGGGCUUAUCCAA
Ribosomal RNA from Paenibacillus sp. FSL R7-0331, 2927 nucleotides. It matches the Rfam family "Bacterial large subunit ribosomal RNA". The record is from Rfam. NCBI's taxonomy places the organism in Bacteria, Bacillati, Bacillota, Bacilli, Caryophanales, Paenibacillaceae.